RNAcentral lists this ribosomal RNA (253 nucleotides) under uncultured bacterium. RNAcentral describes it as "partial 16S ribosomal RNA". It matches the Rfam family "Bacterial small subunit ribosomal RNA", at positions 524 to 776 of the family's 1533-position model. The record is from RNAcentral.
UACGAAGGGGGCUAGCGUUGCUCGGAAUUACUGGGCGUAAAGGGCGCGUAGGCGGAUAUUUAAGUCGGGGGUGAAAGCCCAGGGCUCAACCCUGGAACAGCCUUCGAUACUGGAUAUCUUGAGUACGGGAGAGGUGAGUGGAACUCCGAGUGUAGAGGUGAAAUGCGCAGAUAUCAGGAGGAACACCGGUGGCGAAGGCAGGUCUCUGGGCAGUAACUGACGCUGAGGAGCGAAAGCGUGGGGAGCGAACAGG